CAUUGUCUGUUGUUAGUCUCACGCUAAAAGGAAGUAUUCCCAGUCUAUAAGAGGAUGUUGCGUCUGUAUAUGGUCUUGUUUUCUAGUAGUUAUUAUAAUGAUGCAUUUUUCUUUAGCCUUAAAAUGCAUGAUGGCUGUUGGAGUAUUGCUUCUCUGUCAUUCGGAAGCAGCUCAUUUGGCUAAACGCCUGGGGACAGACCUGUUUGAUAACUGUUUAUACACAAAGGUCACUUGUGGUUUCGAUCCCUGCGCUACCUACACCUGUCCUACAGGCAAAAAGUGCAACAUAUGUUUUGACUGCAAUCCGUUUUGUGUUUAAGUUUAAACUCUUCUGAGCUGAUGAUUUCCAGAGCAAAACGGACAACAAUAAAGUCUCACUAAAAUGGAAA
Long non-coding RNA from Biomphalaria glabrata, 389 nucleotides. RefSeq lists it as uncharacterized. The record is from RefSeq and is a predicted model, not a curated record. Lineage: Eukaryota; Metazoa; Mollusca; Gastropoda; Planorbidae. The transcript is spliced from 3 exons.